This 230-nucleotide ribosomal RNA is filed under the name uncultured microorganism. RNAcentral's name for it is "partial 16S ribosomal RNA". It matches the Rfam family "Bacterial small subunit ribosomal RNA", at positions 524 to 753 of the family's 1533-position model. The record is from RNAcentral.
UACGGAGGAUCCGAGCGUUAUCCGGAUUUAUUGGGUUUAAAGGGUGCGUAGGCGGCCUUUUAAGUCAGCGGUGAAAGUCUGUGGCUCAACCAUAGAAUUGCCGUUGAAACUGGGGGGCUUGAGUAUGUUUGAGGCAGGCGGAAUGCGUGGUGUAGCGGUGAAAUGCAUAGAUAUCACGCAGAACCCCGAUUGCGAAGGCAGCCUGCCAAGCCAUGACUGACGCUGAUGCA